AUUUUCUGAGUUACUUAGUAAAACACUGUGUUUGGUGCCAACAUCCAUUGCUGGUAAUUGUCUUAUACAAAAAAAAAAAAAAAAAAAAAAGACAUUUAUGAAACAGCCAAGUGUCAGGGAUAAAUAUGAGCCCUGAGGCAGGCCAUUAUUUUGAGACCUGCACCUCCUUUUGAGAUGAAACCUGGAAUUUCUCAGAAGCAGUUUUACAUCAUGACAGCUCACAAUGCAGAAACAAUGGUGUAUUUUUUAAAUCAUUAUCACUUGUUAUGUCACAAGCUUUGUACUGAGACCACCACUGAAGACACAGGUGCUGAAUGCCAGCUCCUGAUCAGAAGAACUACACUGCAGGCUUUCCAGCCUCCAUUAGUACAUCUAAUGCCAGAUACACAGUGCAAGAAAUCUAAACUUGCACCCUAUCGAAGAGAUGGAUUGAAGUGCAUAGCUGAUGCCUCUGGUGCCCUAAGUGUGGUCAAAAGAAGAGCAGUUGAAUAAAUACAAGGGUACAGAAGAUGGGGAUGAAAUGCCAUGGUGAUGAUCUCCAGAGGGACCUCAUAGGACUGCAAGAAUCAUCAGAAAGGUGGUGGAUGAGGAUCUAUGCAAGUAAAUGUUACAUACCCAGGGAAAAAAAGUCCAUAUCAUACCUGCAUGCUUCUGUACUCAAAGCUAUCAGUUAACACUCAGGAAUUAUAUCCUGGAGUCCUCAUUGGAAGUUCUCUGAAACCACUGUCCCAGAGCGUUACAGCAACAUUUUUUUUUACCUUUAUCAGAAAUGGUUUUGAAAAAAAGAUGUCCUCAAGGGAGUCAUUCUGUUGUUACACAAAACUUCAGUGCACCCACAUAUUGAGCAAGAUGUGCAGUUCUGGUCUCUGCUUCUCAGGAAGGCCUCAGUGGAGGUAAGAUAAGGUCCAGAUAAAAUUAAUUAAGAUAAUCAAGAGUGUGGCACAGCUGUCUUUAAAGGAGAGACUGAAAAGAGUCCAGAGACCCACCCGUCCAGAGCAAAGAAAGCUGGGGAGGUGGAGGAUGAGAUUAAUGUUCAUAAAAUCAUGAAGGUAACUGAUAAAUCAAACAAGGAAGAGCUUUUUCAAUAAAAUUAGAAGAAGAUCAGAAAACA
This 1111-nucleotide long non-coding RNA is filed under the name Anas platyrhynchos platyrhynchos (common mallard). Its description in RNAcentral is "lncRNA (ENSAPLG00000017707.1)". Lineage: Eukaryota; Metazoa; Chordata; Aves; Anseriformes; Anatidae. The record is from RNAcentral.